RNAcentral lists this ribosomal RNA (846 nucleotides) under Staphylococcus aureus. Its description in RNAcentral is "partial 23S ribosomal RNA". It matches the Rfam family "Bacterial large subunit ribosomal RNA", at positions 1 to 843 of the family's 2925-position model. Lineage: Bacteria; Bacillati; Bacillota; Bacilli; Caryophanales; Staphylococcaceae. The record is from RNAcentral.
AGAUUAAGUUAUUAAGGGCGCACGGUGGAUGCCUUGGCACUAGAAGCCGAUGAAGGACGUUACUAACGACGAUAUGCUUUGGGGAGCUGUAAGUAAGCUUUGAUCCAGAGAUUUCCGAAUGGGGAAACCCAGCAUGAGUUAUGUCAUGUUAUCGAUAUGUGAAUACAUAGCAUAUCAGAAGGCACACCCGGAGAACUGAAACAUCUUAGUACCCGGAGGAAGAAAAAGAAAAUUCGAUUCCCUUAGUAGCGGCGAGCGAAACGGGAAGAGCCCAAACCAACAAGCUUGCUUGUUGGGGUUGUAGGACACUCUAUACGGAGUUACAAAGGACGACAUUAGACGAAUCAUCUGGAAAGAUGAAUCAAAGAAGGUAAUAAUCCUGUAGUCGAAAAUGUUGUCUCUCUUGAGUGGAUCCUGAGUACGACGGAACACGUGAAAUUCCGUCGGAAUCUGGGAGGACCAUCUCCUAAGGCUAAAUACUCUCUAGUGACCGAUAGUGAACCAGUACCGUGAGGGAAAGGUGAAAAGCACCCCGGAAGGGGAGUGAAAUAGAACCUGAAACCGUGUGCUUACAAGUAGUCAGAGCCCGUUAAUGGGUGAUGGCGUGCCUUUUGUAGAAUGAACCGGCGAGUUACGAUUUGAUGCAAGGUUAAGCAGUAAAUGUGGAGCCGUAGCGAAAGCGAGUCUGAAUAGGGCGUUUAGUAUUUGGUCGUAGACCCGAAACCAGGUGAUCUACCCUUGGUCAGGUUGAAGUUCAGGUAACACUGAAUGGAGGACCGAACCGACUUACGUUGAAAAGUGAGCGGAUGAACUGAGGGUAGCGGAGAAAUUCCAAUCGAACCUGGA